CCCCCCCCCCCCCCCCCCCUUUUUAUAGCCAUGGCAACCUCUCUCUCUCUCUCUCCCUACAUUCAGAUUUCAGGGACUUCUCCAUUCAACUCAGAAAGAGAGAGGGAGAGAGAGAUAACAAGGGAGUUACUGCUGUUUGUUGGCUGUUCCGAAAAGCGUGCUUCAUUUUCUCGCUUUGUACAUUGGUGGAGCUUGUGUUGAAGCAAUUACAAGAUUAUGCAUCUGGGCUCUUUAUGGCUUUGAGACCGCUUGCUUUUUUGUUACUCUGUAUCCUUUAGUUAGAAAUUUUUUGGAUCUCCUAAAAAAAUUACAGUGUUGAAGUUAGAUCAAUGUCUUUGUUUCACCAUUUGUUUGUGAUGACAUGUUGUCACUAGAAUCAAUACUCAACUGUGAAUGACAAUUAAACUUUACCCACUUUCAAUUCUUUGCAAAAAAUGUCUGUGCUGUUGGUUAAGGUUUGUUCAAGGAUAUUUGGACUUCACAACUUUAUACUGCAUGAUUACCAUUCUCCCAGGAGAGGAAACGAAGGGGAGAAAAAAAGAAAAAAGAAAUCACGAUGCUGUGCUUCUGAUUUAAUAGAGGGCCUUGAUGGUUGAAGACUUGAAGUGAUCCUGGAUCACAAAUUCUGUUUCCUGACAAAUUCGCUAAUUCAAGUGAAAGGCAUAACAAGUGCGAAGCAACUCUCUUCCAUAAAGCAAGACAGCUGAUGGCUUCUGUCUGUUCAGUUGUUAUUUUUGUGCGUUAAAUUUGGUGCUUCCCAAGGACCCAAAAUUAUUUAUAAGACGGGAAGGAAGAAAACAUUAUGGCAACUCAAAGUAUCAAAGCUAAAGUUAAUAUUUGAUAUUCUACUUUUAUCCUUCUGCAGAGCUGGUACCUAUGCUGCAUGUGAUGAGAUCAACAAUGAGAUCCUUGUAACAGCUCUUCCUUGAACCCAGGAAGACAAUACUCAUGCACUGUGGAAAGAACAUUAUGAGUGUGGAGAGGGCACGCUCUGAUGACUGUCAGCAAACAAGUUAUAAGAAGAAUCAAGAUGUGUGCAUUUAGCAUUUGAUUAAAAAAUCUUGAAGUCUGAUUAAAAGUUUUAAUGCUGCAGAAACGUUGAAUAUAUCAAGGGAAAAUGACCUAAUUUCUCAAAUUGUGCAGUGAUGAUGAAGGUGGAAAAAGUUACUGAUGAUAUGGGAGGAGACUUGCAUUUUUUUUUUAAUGAAAUGGAGACUUGGAAUUGCAUGCGCACGCACGCACCCUGGAUUUUAGAUACUGGAUAUUUGUCACUCUGAUGGAGCGGUUAUAAAACAUCCUAGCAUUUUUCUUGCCUGGGCUUUUUAGGUUGUUGCCAUUGUUCUACGCGUUUGCUUUUACUUUCUGAGGCAAAUUAGGAAUAGUGAGCUUAUAAUCAAAGGGUUGUACUGAAAUCAGGUCACUAGUUUAACAUCACUAGGUCAUUGUGGAUUUACUUCCAUGUUUUAUCCUUAUUUGUUUCAUCUUUUGGAAGUUACUGUUAAUUUUAUACUUUGUUAUAGAAUUGAAUGAUGAACACAAAUAAUGU
Lycium barbarum (goji berry) is the source of this 1546-nucleotide long non-coding RNA. RefSeq lists it as uncharacterized. Lineage: Eukaryota; Viridiplantae; Streptophyta; Magnoliopsida; Solanales; Solanaceae. The record is from RefSeq and is a predicted model, not a curated record. The transcript is spliced from 3 exons.